Molecule: small nucleolar RNA, 70 nt
Organism: Vicugna pacos (alpaca)
Lineage: Eukaryota; Metazoa; Chordata; Mammalia; Artiodactyla; Camelidae
Source: Ensembl
UGGAUCAGUGAUGUGAUUUCUGGGGUAUAUGAAUCAAGAACUUUGAUUAAACCCUAACACUGAGGUCUAU